This is a long non-coding RNA of Magallana angulata, 3185 nucleotides long. RefSeq lists it as uncharacterized. The record is from RefSeq and is a predicted model, not a curated record. The transcript has 3 exons. Lineage: Eukaryota; Metazoa; Mollusca; Bivalvia; Ostreida; Ostreidae.
AAUAUAAACAUGACACUCUGAACUAUAUCCUUUUCCAUCAUGGAAAAACUUUAAAUUAUGUAGUAGCAUAAACUACCUGUACAUGACUGUCUGAAACUGAGGCUUUAUUUAAGGAAUAAGAAACCAUUCUUUAAGUAUUAGAGGUGAUAAUAAUGGUUGGGGUGUGGUCAGGUGCAAUAAAGCCUAAAGGGCUUUAUAACAGAUUUGACCAAACCUCGUCUGAAAUUGUCACCUCAUAACAUUCAGAAAAUGAUUCCUUAUAUUUAUAUUAUUUCCAAUUUGUACACUUUAAAACAACAUUUUAUAACCAUUAUUUUUUCAUGUAGCACAUGCUAUGUAUUACUAUGUGGCGCAGACAAUAUCAUUUUUUCGUAACCUGAACCAAAAGUUCAAGUGAGCUUUUCUCAUCGCCUGUUGUCCGUCAUCGUCUGUCUAUCCGUCUGUCUAAACUUUGUACAAAGCAUCAUUAUGGUAAGGGGUUCUAAAUUGUUACUGUGAAAUAAAAGGCCGAACCCUUUUUAAAAGGGAGAUAAUUAUGAAACAGUGAAAAUAUAGUGGGUGUCUUAAAAAAUCUUUAAGAACCACCGCACAAGAAAUGCCAUUAUUUACACCAUAGCUUGUAUAUAUAGUGAAGAUUAUAAGUUGUUAAAAUUGUGACCCUCAGAUUAAUACUGGGGCCCCAAGAGGGGUUCAAAGUUUUAAAUAAAAAUAUACAGGGAAAAUGUUUUAAAAUCUUCUCCUCAAGAACUACAAUGCUUCAAUUAGUGAGAUUACUAUACAAUCAUUCUUUAAGUUACAUAGUGAAGAUUCUAAAGUGUUAAAACCAUGACCUCCAGAUCAAUACUUGGGUUCAAAAUCUAACAUAGAAAUAUAUAGGGAAAAUGUAAAAAAAAAAAAAAAGCCAAAAAAACUUCUUCUCAAGAACUACAAUGUACACUCAAUGCUACAAUUUGUAAAAUUAAUAUGCAAACAGCCUCAAAUGAUGUUCACUCUAAAUUGUUAAAACCGUGACCCCUAGACCAACACUUGGGCCCCAAGAGGGGUUCAAAGUUUAUCAUAGAAAUAUAUAGGGAAAAUUAUGUUUAAAAAACUUCUUCACAAUAAUUGUGAUCCCUAGUACAAUACUGUGUCCGUAGAAGGGGUUUCAAGUUUACAUAGAAAUAUAUAUGGAUAAUGUUUGAAAAUCUUCUUUUCAAGAACUAGAGCUACAAUUUGUGAACUUACUAUGCAAGCAUCCUCAAAAAGUGAGGAUUCUUAAUUGCUAAAACCGUUAUCCCCAGAUCUAAACUGGAACCCAAAUAGGUGUUCAAGUUUCAAAAUUCAAUAUAUAUAGAAAUUGUUUGAAUUUAAUUUAUGAGGUUAUUAUGCAUGCAUUCUAAGAUAAUGUACUAGUGGAUUCUAAAUUGCUAAAACCGUGACCCCCAGACCAGUAGAUGGGUUCAAAGUUUAUUUAUAGAAGUAUAUUAGAAAAUUGUUUGAAAAUCUUCAUCUAAAAAAAACCCAAUACUACAUUUAGUGACGGUAUUUAAGUAUGUAUUAGCAUUAUCAUAUCUUUAUUUUGAUGUCACAGUGAUCUUCUUUCACCUUUUAAUGAUUAUUGAUAGUUCUUUCACAUUUUUGCUAUCUUUAAUACUUCGAGGCAUAGUGUAAUAGGGUGCAUUUUAUGAUAAUUACAUUCAUGCAUAUUAUUCAUAUUUCAUCAUCAUCAUCUUACAUUCCAUAUUUUACAUGUACAUAUUUAGAAACAGACUAAUAUCCCUAUAACUCCCUGUCUUUUAUGCAUCUAUCAAGUAAUCAUUACUUAAUUACCUUUUCUAGUGGUUUCUAAUAUUUUAUAGCCUUAAGUCAUUUCACCUGUAUGGUCACUUACAUACAUGUGGACAGGAUCAGGUGGUUUACUUAGCCAAUAGUAUGUUUUUAUGAUUUUUUCCCGCUUUAACUGAGUAGCCUUUGUGACAGACCAAGGCUAGUAUUCCUAGGAGUAAGACCUAAUUUCUUCAAGAGACGAUUUCACUUAUUCAUUUAUUUCAUCAACACAUUUGAAGCAGUCAGUUAUAGUAAGUGUUCUAUUUUUUUGGUAUUCUUGAACUUUAAUAAAUAAUUUAAUAGAUAAUAAUGAUAUUUUCUGUUAAUUGGUACAUUUGGCUAAUUCUACUUUUUGAGGUGAUAAUACCUUAUUUAUGAAAGAAUGUAUUUUAUAAAUUAUCCCAGUAAUUCAUAGUUUUGAUAUCUAAGCUAUAGUAUCUCAUUUCUAAUAUAUGUGAAAGGUUAGUUAUUGUUACCAUUAUGAUAUUUAAUACUUGUAGUUAGAGACUACCAUUGUCAGAGUAAUCUGCAGGAUUGUGCAUGAAACCUUGUUCCAUAAACAGGUGAUCGUUGCAAAGUUAUAUUUUUAUAUUUAUUUUAUGUAUCUUGAUAAAAUGUAAUCUACAAAGGAGUUACAUUGAAAGUAUAUGUUUUUAUUUAAUUAAAUAUAUAUAUAGAUAUUGAUAAAGAUGUAGAGCAUAUUUCUAUAUUUUUGUAAAUUGUGUUCAAGGGCAGUAACUCUUCUUGACACUGAUUAAAAUGCAUCAUAAAUUCAGAGUUAUCCUUCUUUACAAAUAGUUUGAUUAGUGAACUCUGAGCAUUAAUGUAUUUCAUGAAUAUGUAUUUGAAUAUGAUUGUAUAUUUUUAUGCUGAUAUCUAUGAAUUAUAUUACAGGGUUUAAAUCCUUUAAUCCUAACCAUUUAUCCGAAUAAAUGAAGAACCCUUAAAGUGGACUUGUUUAUUUCUUGGGACAACCCACUAUCACAUUUGGCGCCCACGUUGCAUUCGGAUACCAAGGAGAUGGGGACCACACAUGAAGCUGACUGAUGUCUACAGAUUCUUAUGGUGGAAAGCCGAGGUCUAUACAGAUUGAACACUGGACUCAUGUUUUGUGACUCUUGAAUCCUGACCUGUUCCAGAUUCCAGACUCCGGAGCCAUUCAACACCUUGAGAUAACAGACAACAGACAGUGCAGCCGUUUGAUCAUUUAGAGACUACCAUUGUCAGAGUAAUCUGCAGGAUUGUGCAUGAAACCUUGUUCCAUAAACAGGGUUUAAAUCCUUUAAUCCUAACCAUUUAUCCGAAUAAAUGAAGAACCCUUAAAGUGGACUUGUUUAUUUCUUGGGACAACCCACUAUCACAAUAGGAUAAUGAGAUUG